GACGUGCUAAUCUGCGAUAAGCGUCGGUAAGGUGAUAUGAACCGUUAUAACCGGCGAUUUCCGAAUGGGGAAACCCAGUGUGAUUCGUCACACUAUCAUUAACUGAAUCCAUAGGUUAAUGAGGCGAACCGGGGGAACUGAAACAUCUAAGUACCCCGAGGAAAAGAAAUCAACCGAGAUUCCCCCAGUAGCGGCGAGCGAACGGGGAGCAGCCCAGAGCCUGAAUCAGUGUGUGUGUUAGUGGAAGCGUCUGGAAAGGCGUGCGAUACAGGGUGACAGCCCCGUACACAAAAAUGCACAUACUGUGAGCUCGAUGAGUAGGGCGGGACACGUGGUAUCCUGUCUGAAUAUGGGGGGACCAUCCUCCAAGGCUAAAUACUCCUGACUGACCGAUAGUGAACCAGUACCGUGAGGGAAAGGCGAAAAGAACCCCGGCGAGGGGAGUGAAAAAGAACCUGAAACCGUGUACGUACAAGCAGUGGGAGCACGCUUAGGCGUGUGACUGCGUACCUUUUGUAUAAUGGGUCAGCGACUUAUAUUCUGUAGCAAGGUUAACCGAAUAGGGGAGCCGAAGGGAAACCGAGUCUUAACUGGGCGUUAAGUUGCAGGGUAUAGACCCGAAACCCGGUGAUCUAGCCAUGGGCAGGUUGAAGGUUGGGUAACACUAACUGGAGGACCGAACCGACUAAUGUUGAAAAAUUAGCGGAUGACUUGUGGCUGGGGGUGAAAGGCCAAUCAAACCGGGAGAUAGCUGGUUCUCCCCGAAAGCUAUUUAGGUAGCGCCUCGUGAAUUCAUCUCCGGGGGUAGAGCACUGUUUCGGCAAGGGGGUCAUCCCGACUUACCAACCCGAUGCAAACUGCGAAUACCGGAGAAUGUUAUUACGGGAGACACACGGCGGGUGCUAACGUCCGUCGUGAAGAGGGAAACAACCCAGACCGCCAGCUAAGGUCCCAAAGUCAUGGUUAAGUGGGAAACGAUGUGGGAAGGCCCAGACAGCCAGGAUGUUGGCUUAGAAGCAGCCAUCAUUUAAAGAAAGCGUAAUAGCUCACUGGUCGAGUCGGCCUGCGCGGAAGAUGUAACGGGGCUAAACCAUGCACCGAAGCUGCGGCAGCGACGCUUAUGCGUUGUUGGGUAGGGGAGCGUUCUGUAAGCCUGUGAAGGUGUGCUGUGAGGUAUGCUGGAGGUAUCAGAAGUGCGAAUGCUGACAUAAGUAACGAUAAAGCGGGUGAAAAGCCCGCUCGCCGGAAGACCAAGGGUUCCUGUCCAACGUUAAUCGGGGCAGGGUGAGUCGACCCCUAAGGCGAGGCCGAAAGGCGUAGUCGAUGGGAAACAGGUUAAUAUUCCUGUACUUGGUGUUACUGCGAAGGGGGGACGGAGAAGGCUAUGUUGGCCGGGCGACGGUUGUCCCGGUUUAAGCGUGUAGGCUGGUUUUCCAGGCAAAUCCGGAAAAUCAAGGCCGAGGCGUGAUGACGAGGCACUACGGUGCUGAAGCAACAAAUGCCCUGCUUCCAGGAAAAGCCUCUAAGCAUCAGGUAACAUCAAAUCGUACCCCAAACCGACACAGGUGGUCAGGUAGAGAAUACCAAGGCGCUUGAGAGAACUCGGGUGAAGGAACUAGGCAAAAUGGUGCCGUAACUUCGGGAGAAGGCACGCUGAUACGUAGGUGAAGCGACUUGCUCGUGGAGCUGAAAUCAGUCGAAGAUACCAGCUGGCUGCAACUGUUUAUUAAAAACACAGCACUGUGCAAACACGAAAGUGGACGUAUACGGUGUGACGCCUGCCCGGUGCCGGAAGGUUAAUUGAUGGGGUUAGCGCAAGCGAAGCUCUUGAUCGAAGCCCCGGUAAACGGCGGCCGUAACUAUAACGGUCCUAAGGUAGCGAAAUUCCUUGUCGGGUAAGUUCCGACCUGCACGAAUGGCGUAAUGAUGGCCAGGCUGUCUCCACCCGAGACUCAGUGAAAUUGAACUCGCUGUGAAGAUGCAGUGUACCCGCGGCAAGACGGAAAGACCCCGUGAACCUUUACUAUAGCUUGACACUGAACAUUGAGCCUUGAUGUGUAGGAUAGGUGGGAGGCUUUGAAGUGUGGACGCCAGUCUGCAUGGAGCCGACCUUGAAAUACCACCCUUUAAUGUUUGAUGUUCUAACGUGGACCCGUGAUCCGGGUUGCGGACAGUGUCUGGUGGGUAGUUUGACUGGGGCGGUCUCCUCCUAAAGAGUAACGGAGGAGCACGAAGGUUGGCUAAUCCUGGUCGGACAUCAGGAGGUUAGUGCAAUGGCAUAAGCCAGCUUGACUGCGAGCGUGACGGCGCGAGCAGGUGCGAAAGCAGGUCAUAGUGAUCCGGUGGUUCUGAAUGGAAGGGCCAUCGCUCAACGGAUAAAAGGUACUCCGGGGAUAACAGGCUGAUACCGCCCAAGAGUUCAUAUCGACGGCGGUGUUUGGCACCUCGAUGUCGGCUCAUCACAUCCUGGGGCUGAAGUAGGUCCCAAGGGUAUGGCUGUUCGCCAUUUAAAGUGGUACGCGAGCUGGGUUUAGAACGUCGUGAGACAGUUCGGUCCCUAUCUGCCGUGGGCGCUGGAGAACUGAGGGGGGCUGCUCCUA
RNAcentral lists this ribosomal RNA (2600 nucleotides) under Shigella flexneri. RNAcentral describes it as "partial 23S ribosomal RNA". It matches the Rfam family "Bacterial large subunit ribosomal RNA", at positions 55 to 2680 of the family's 2925-position model. Lineage: Bacteria; Pseudomonadati; Pseudomonadota; Gammaproteobacteria; Enterobacterales; Enterobacteriaceae. The record is from RNAcentral.